Molecule: ribosomal RNA, 253 nt
Filed under: uncultured bacterium
Lineage: Bacteria
Description: partial 16S ribosomal RNA
Rfam family: Bacterial small subunit ribosomal RNA
Source: RNAcentral
UACGUAGGGUGCGAGCGUUGUCCGGAAUUAUUGGGCGUAAAGAGCUUGUAGGCGGUUUGUCGCGUCUGCUGUGAAAAUCCGGGGCUCAACCCCGGACUUGCAGUGGGUACGGGCAGACUAGAGUGUGGUAGGGGAGACUGGAAUUCCUGGUGUAGCGGUGAAAUGCGCAGAUAUCAGGAGGAACACCGGUGGCGAAGGCGGAUCUCUGGGCCAGUACUGACACUGAGGAGCGAAAGCGUGGGUAGCAAACAGG